Molecule: ribosomal RNA, 1447 nt
Filed under: uncultured bacterium
Lineage: Bacteria
Description: partial 16S ribosomal RNA
Rfam family: Bacterial small subunit ribosomal RNA
Source: RNAcentral
UAGAGUUUGAUCCUGGCUCAGAACGAACGCUGGCGGCAGGCCUAACACAUGCAAGUCGAGCGCACCCUUCGGGGCGAGCGGCGGACGGGUUAGUAACGCGUGGGAACGUGCCCUUCUCUAAGGAAUAGCCUCGGGAAACUGAGAGUAAUACCUUAUACGCCCUUCGGGGGAAAGAUUUAUCGGAGAAGGAUCGGCCCGCGUUAGAUUAGAUAGUUGGUGGGGUAACGGCCUACCAAGUCUACGAUCUAUAGCUGGUUUUAGAGGAUGAUCAGCAACACUGGGACUGAGACACGGCCCAGACUCCUACGGGAGGCAGCAGUGGGGAAUCUUGGACAAUGGGCGCAAGCCUGAUCCAGCCAUGCCGCGUGAGUGAUGAAGGCCUUAGGGUCGUAAAGCUCUUUCGCCAGGGAUGAUAAUGACAGUACCUGGUAAAGAAACCCCGGCUAACUCCGUGCCAGCAGCCGCGGUAAUACGGAGGGGGUUAGCGUUGUUCGGAAUUACUGGGCGUAAAGCGUACGUAGGCGGAUCAGAAAGUUGGGGGUGAAAUCCCGGGGCUCAACCCCGGAACUGCCUCCAAAACUCCUGGUCUUGAGUUCGAGAGAGGUGAGUGGAAUUCCGAGUGUAGAGGUGAAAUUCGUAGAUAUUCGGAGGAACACCAGUGGCGAAGGCGGCUCACUGGCUCGAUACUGACGCUGAGGUGCGAAAGUGUGGGGAGCAAACAGGAUUAGAUACCCUGGUAGUCCACGCCGUAAACGAUGUCUACUUGGAGGUUGUGGCCUUGAGCCGUGGCUUUCGGAGCUAACGCGUUAAGUAGACCGCCUGGGGAGUACGGUCGCAAGAUUAAAACUCAAAUGAAUUGACGGGGGCCCGCACAAGCGGUGGAGCAUGUGGUUUAAUUCGAUGCAACGCGAAGAACCUUACCUACUCUUGACAUCCAGAGAACUUUUCAGAGAUGGAUUGGUGCCUUCGGGAACUCUGAGACAGGUGCUGCAUGGCUGUCGUCAGCUCGUGUUGUGAAAUGUUGGGUUAAGUCCCGCAACGAGCGCAACCCUUAUCCUUGUUUGCCAGCACUUCGGGUGGGAACUCCAGGGAGACUGCCGGUGAUAAACCGGAGGAAGGUGGGGACGACGUCAAGUCAUCAUGGCCCUUACGAGUAGGGCUACACACGUGCUACAAUGGCGCAUACAGAGGGCGGCCAACUUGCGAAAGUGAGCGAAUCCCAAAAAGUGCGUCGUAGUCCGGAUUGGAGUCUGCAACUCGACUCCAUGAAGUCGGAAUCGCUAGUAAUCGUGGAUCAGAAUGCCACGGUGAAUACGUUCCCGGGCCUUGUACACACCGCCCGUCACACCAUGGGAGUGGGCUGCAAAAGAAGUGGGUAGUUUAACCUUCGGGAGGACGCUCACCACUUUGUGGUUCAUGACUGGGGUGAAGUCGUAACAAGGUAACC